Long non-coding RNA from Photinus pyralis (common eastern firefly), 603 nucleotides. RefSeq lists it as uncharacterized. Lineage: Eukaryota; Metazoa; Arthropoda; Insecta; Coleoptera; Lampyridae. The record is from RefSeq and is a predicted model, not a curated record. The transcript is spliced from 3 exons.
GGGUUUGCCUGCCGGCCACCCUUUCUUUUUUUUUGUAUCUUUUUUUCCUUCCUUAGCCUCUUUUACAGCUUCCUCAUCCACCGAAGUCACGCUCGAGUCUCUAGACGACCGCGACCUAGUUAUCGGUGUUUUACGCUUAGCCCCUCGUGUAUCUGUUUCCAUAUUUUCAAUCUCGGAAGAUGUAGUAGGUUCGGAGAAAGGGUUAAAUGUUUGUUUUUCUCCUCUUGCAGUGACAGUUCCUGUAGGAACUUGGAAAGCAUGUAGUGGGUAGUUUUCCAAAGCCUUUCUUGUGGAGCAAUCGAUUGUGCUGGCAUGGGUGCAGGCGUGGUCGUGACCUGCGCAAACGACGUACUAGGGAUUACCAUAGUAUCUACCUUCUUCUUAGCUUCAGGUUUGGGCAUUCAACUGGUACUUCACAGGGGAUAACACCAUGUGGUGGUUUGCCACAGACACACCUCUGUUCGUGCUUACAAUUCAUUGACGAAUGACCAAACCUUUGACAAUUAAAGCACCGCAACGGAUUAGGUAUAUAAGGACGAACUUUCAGUGGAUAAAACGCUGCCUGUAUCGAUCUUGGUAGUCGUGGGACAUUAAAGGUGAGUA